GACGAACGCUGGCGGCGUGCUUAACACAUGCAAGUCGAACGGAAAGGCCCUGCUUUUGUGGGGUGCUCGAGUGGCGAACGGGUGAGUAACACGUGAGUAACCUGCCCUUGACUUUGGGAUAACUUCAGGAAACUGGGGCUAAUACCGGAUAGGAGCUCCUGCUGCAUGGUGGGGGUUGGAAAGUUUGGGCGUUUGGGGAUGGACUCGCGGCUUAUCAGCUUGUUGGUGGGGUAGUGGCUUACCAAGUCUUUGACGGGUAGCCGGCCUGAGAGGGUGACCGGGAACAUGGGGACUGAGAAACGGACCAGAAGCCAACGGGAGGAAGAGGUGGGAAAAAUGGCACAAUGGGCGGAAGCCUGAUGCAGCAACCCCGGGUGCGGGAUGACGGCCUUCGGGUUGUAAACCGGUUUCGCAUGUGACGAAGCGGGAGUGACGGUAAUGGGUAAAGAAGCACCGGCUAACUACGUG
RNAcentral lists this ribosomal RNA (468 nucleotides) under uncultured bacterium. RNAcentral describes it as "partial 16S ribosomal RNA". It matches the Rfam family "Bacterial small subunit ribosomal RNA", at positions 28 to 507 of the family's 1533-position model. The record is from RNAcentral.